UUCUGUGCCAGAGCAUCCACAGCUACGUGACGGCCUGCCAAGAGGCUGGGGCCCCCAUCCAGCCCUGGAGAAACACCUCCUUCUGCUCUGUGAGCUGCCCAGUCAACAGCCACUAUGAGGUCUGCGCUGACCUAUGUACCACCACCUGCUCUGCAGAAAUCAUGGACUGCCCGGAGACCUGUGCUGAAGGCUGCCAGUGUGACGAUGGCUUCUUCUUCGAUGGCCAGGGCUGUGUGACUCCAGAAAGCUGUGGGUGCUUCGAGCGUGGGAGAUAUUACAAGCCCAAUGAGACGGUCCUGACGAACGAGUGCCAGCAAAGCUGCACCUGUGUUCCUGCUCGAG
Molecule: long non-coding RNA, 342 nt
Organism: Terrapene triunguis (Three-toed box turtle)
Lineage: Eukaryota; Metazoa; Chordata; Testudines; Emydidae
Exons: 3
Source: RefSeq, a predicted model, not a curated record